GCUUGCUUGUUGGGGUUGUAGGACACUCUAUACGGAGUUACAAAGGACGACAUUAGACGAAUCAUCUGGAAAGAUGAAUCAAAGAAGGUAAUAAUCCUGUAGUCGAAAAUGUUGUCUCUCUUGAGUGGAUCCUGAGUACGACGGAGCACGUGAAAUUCCGUCGGAAUCUGGGAGGACCAUCUCCUAAGGCUAAAUACUCUCUAGUGACCGAUAGUGAACCAGUACCGUGAGGGAAAGGUGAAAAGCACCCCGGAAGGGGAGUGAAAUAGAACCUGAAACCGUGUGCUUACAAGUAGUCAGAGCCCGUUAAUGGGUGAUGGCGUGCCUUUUGUAGAAUGAACCGGCGAGUUACGAUUUGAUGCAAGGUUAAGCAGUAAAUGUGGAGCCGUAGCGAAAGCGAGUCUGAAUAGGGCGUUUAGUAUUUGGUCGUAGACCCGAAACCAGGUGAUCUACCCUUGGUCAGGUUGAAGUUCAGGUAACACUGAAUGGAGGACCGAACCGACUUACGUUGAAAAGUGAGCGGAUGAACUGAGGGUAGCGGAGAAAUUCCAAUCGAACCUGGAGAUAGCUGGUUCUCUCCGAAAUAGCUUUAGGGCUAGCCUCAAGUGAUGAUUAUUGGAGGUAGAGCACUGUUUGGACGAGGGGCCCCUCUCGGGUUACCG
RNAcentral lists this ribosomal RNA (662 nucleotides) under Staphylococcus aureus. RNAcentral's name for it is "partial 23S ribosomal RNA". It matches the Rfam family "Bacterial large subunit ribosomal RNA", at positions 283 to 941 of the family's 2925-position model. Lineage: Bacteria; Bacillati; Bacillota; Bacilli; Caryophanales; Staphylococcaceae. The record is from RNAcentral.